GCCGCGGGGCAGGGCGGCCGCCUGCGCGGGCCGCCGCGAUGAUCCCCUACUUCUCCGACAACGCCGUCAUCUCGCAGGGCGCCAUCGCCCAGCUGAUUCAAACUUCACUUUGGUCUGCUGAAACUCUAAGGCAGCUGAUGGAAAGGUAGAAAGAAAAAAGCAAAACUUCAGACAGUCUGCAAAUACCAAAGCAUUUUUAACAGAAGAAACCUGCAGAGAUUGCCGUAGAGCCAUUCUUCCUGCCUGCAGUCGCUUCCUCUGCCUUUGGCCAAGUUUCAGUGUGAAGAAACACCACUUCACAGCUAAGAGGAAGUCCCAGGCUGCGCAGAUGUUCCUCUCUCUGGAAGUGCUUGGGAUUUUUCGAAAGGCUAUGAAGCAGAAGGACCUGAGUGAGAUUAUCAGCAGAAAAGGACCUUUUGGGGCCAGUGAAGAGGCUGGCUGGGAUUCUUUUUGCAGGACUGUACUUCCUUGUACCUUUAUCUGGGAGCCCCUGGCUAAGAUAUUACUUCAUUGUUUUUUAAACAACUUAAAGCUAACUUUCCUGAAAUGUUGCUUCUCACGCGUAUUUGUGGGGUCAGAGAAAGUUUAAAAUCCUGCAUCCUGCUCUACGAUAGGCUCUGAAGAGUUGCCGUCUCCUCUGCAUCAGUCUGGCAAACAGCAUUUAAAUUAUCAGCCUGUAUGGGUUUAAAACCAGUUCAGCGAUAUUUUUUUCCCCGUUGUAAUGCAUGUGAUGUGUACAGGGCGAAUCUGCAGCUUGUUUCCAGCCCUGGUGUUCUGUAGCAGCUGGCUGAAGACUUUUACUUCCACAAACGCACGGAGUAAAAUUCGUGGCUGUCGCUAAUUCUGAAUGCUCGUGCUUUUGCCGAAGUAUUCGGAAGACGCCCCUUUGCUUUGCCGAGGCACCUGGGCCCGAGCUUGAACUCGGCAGCUUGGGAAGCAACUGGAGACUGGCGGUAGUUGUUCUGCAGGCACCUAUUGCGGUGUUGCGUAGGAUUAACCAAGUGUUCUGGGACAGAGGGGACCCUCCUGGUUCGAGGACAUCAGCCCGCAACCGAGGGAGGUGGGGGAAAGAAAACCCUGUGGAGGCGAAUGGUAAAAUUAAGCCGUACCCCAGCGUUGGGGAGGGCUGGGGCCGACAGAGGAAUCCAGCCCGUCAACUCUCCGCAUAGGGACGGCGCUUCUUGGCAUUGGCAGCUUUUCAAAUUUGGGCAUUUCUAGGUGUAUUAAGGCCACAGGCUCCUCGGUCACUGCGUUUUGCUGUUUAUCCCGUACUUAUCUGGCCCUCAUCAACAUUGUACUCAGCCCGUUGGGGUCUCUGGGUUUAUUUGUAAUAAGCCAUUUAAGAAGUAUGCUUUUUCUCAAAACACCUUUGUUAUAAGUAGGAUAAAUCCAGGGGCUGCUGAACCAUAAAUGAUUUAGUCCUUUCUUUUAAACAAAUGAUCUUUGUCACUUAGUAGUGAAGUCCUUAAUUUGUUCACACGCCUCUCACAAUGGCUUACUGAGGUCCACAUUGUCCCACCAGCCCGGGCUUUGUCCUGCCUGUGAUCUCCUCGGUAACUCCGCGGUUCUGCCUUUGCUUCACUCUGUUAAACUUCCAGCUUUUCACCGGAAGAGCACAGAUUUGUUACAGGUGAAUUCUGUGCUGCGGGUCUGGUGGAGGCACAGGGAUGAAGCAGAGUAAGUUCAUCCCUUGAUCCAGUGCUGUCUUGAAGUGCCUGGGGUGGGCUGGGACUCCUGCCCCUCCAGAGGACUCUUGAUGAGCUGAGCUUAGACUUAACUGUCUGUACGCCAGCGUUACUGUGCGUAACGAAUGGUGCUGUAUUUCCUCUCACCCCGUGCUUCGUUCGCCAGCCUGAAGAGCGCGAAUCUCCUCGUCUGAGCCCCUUAUUGCCCUGCAGGCUCCGUUCCUGCGGCGUCCUCGCGGGACGCUUUGGAGCGGGCUGUUACCUGUGCUGUGGCUCAGCCGCCUCCGGCUCGUCGCGGCGGUGGCGGGCGGGCGCGGGCAGCCGUAUUCCGGGUGCAUUGCCGAUGUUUUGUGAAAGGCUCCAAACGGCAGGUGGGACUGGAGGAGGGUCGUUUUGAUUAGCAAAUGAUAAAUUUCUCUUUGUCAGGUGAUAAUUUAAGAGGGAACCUCGUUUGUGUAAAGGUACAGAUGGGAAAGGCUAUCUGUCGUUAUUCUUAACCUUUGUGUUCUGAAGCUUUGUUAGUCUUCUGCUUGCUUCCUGCAGCUUGGUGCUGGAUUAAAGUGAACCCAGAAUUGGUUUGGUUUGGGUUUUUAUAAGGCUCUGUGUGGUGGUGUGUGAAGAGUUUGUCACUGGCUUCUUUGUUGUUGUUGUUAUUGUUAGGGUUGUUUUUUUCCCUUUAUUUGCUUUGGAAAAGAUGGAGAAAUUAAAAAAAAAAAAAACAAAUGCAAAGCGGAA
Phalacrocorax carbo (great cormorant) is the source of this 2420-nucleotide non-coding RNA. NCBI's taxonomy places the organism in Eukaryota, Metazoa, Chordata, Aves, Suliformes, Phalacrocoracidae. The record is from RefSeq and is a predicted model, not a curated record.